CAAUAGCGUAUAUUAAAGUUGUUGCGGUUAAAAAGCCCGUAGUUGGAUUUCUGCUGAGAACGACCGGUCCGCCCUCUGGGUGUGUAUCUGGCUCUUUCUUGGCAUCUUCUUGGUGAACGUUGCUGCACUUGACUGUGUGGAGCGCUACCCAGGACUUUUACUUUGAGGAAAUUAGAGUGUUUCAAGCAGGCAUACGCCUUGAAUACAUUAGCAUGGAAUAAUAAGAUAGGACCUCGGUUCUAUUUUGUUGGUUUCUAGAGCUGAGGUAAUGAUUAAUAGGGAUAGUUGGGGGCAUUCGUAUUUAACUGUCAGAGGUGAAAUUCUUGGAUUUGUUAAAGACGAACUAGUGCGAAAGCAUUUGCCAAGGAUGUUUUCAUUGA
This 380-nucleotide ribosomal RNA is filed under the name uncultured eukaryote. Its description in RNAcentral is "partial 18S ribosomal RNA". It matches the Rfam family "Eukaryotic small subunit ribosomal RNA", at positions 592 to 976 of the family's 1831-position model. The record is from RNAcentral.